GACGAACGCUAGCGGCAGGCCUAACACAUGCAAGUCGAGGGAGAGGGUACCUUCUGGUAACCAAAACCGGCGCACGGGUGCGUAACGCGUAUACAAUCUGCCUUUCCCAUAGGUAUAGCCCGCAGCAAUUUGGUUUAAUACCUACCGGUUUAUAAGACCGGCAUCGUUUUUAUAUUUAAGCUACGGCGGUGAAAGAGGAGUAUGCGUUCUAUUAGCUAGUUGUUGAGGUAACGGCUCCUCAAGGCGACGAUAGAUAGGGGUUCUGAGGGGGAUGUCCCCGACACUGGGACUGGGCUACGGGCCAGACUGCUACGGGCGGCAGCAGUGAGGGAGAUUGGACAGUGGUAGGAAGACUGAUCCAGCCAAGCCGCGUGCAGGAUGGAGGUCCUAGGGAUUGUGAACUGCUUUUGGAAGGGAGGAAUAAGGAGUACGUGUACUUUGAUGACGGUACCUUACGAAUAAGCAUCGGCUAACUCCGUG
This 480-nucleotide ribosomal RNA is filed under the name uncultured bacterium. RNAcentral's name for it is "partial 16S ribosomal RNA". It matches the Rfam family "Bacterial small subunit ribosomal RNA", at positions 28 to 507 of the family's 1533-position model. The record is from RNAcentral.